UGAAAGAAUGUUCACAGAAUGGAAGUUUUAGUCUAAAGUUCAACAAUACAGUAUGACUGAUAGUUACAGAAUGGAAGGUUUAGUCUAAAGUUCAACAAUACAGUAUGACUGAUAGUUACAGAAUGGAAGUAGUCUAAAGUUCAACAAUACAGUAUGACUGAUAGUUACAGAAUGGAAGGUUUAGUCUAAAGUUCCACAAUACAGUAUGACUGAUAGUUACAGAAUGGAAGGUUUAGUCUAAAGUUCAACAAUACAGUAUGACUGAUAGUUACAGAAUGGAAGGUUUAGUCUAAAGUUCAACAAUACAGUAUGACUGAUAGUUACAGAAUGGAAGGUUUAGUCUAAAGUUCAACAAUACAGUAUGACUGAUAGUUACAGAAUGGAAGGUUUAGUCUAAAGUUCAACAAUACAGUAUGACUGAUAGUUACAGAAUGGAAGGUUUAGUCUAAAGUUCAACAAUACAGUAUGACUGAUAGUUACAGAAUGGAAGGUUUAGUCUAAAGUUCAACAAUACAGUAUGACUGAUAGUUACAGAAUGGAAGGUUUAGUCUAAAGUUCAACAAUACAGUAUGACUGAUAGUUACAGAAUGGAAGGUUUAGUCUAAAGUUCA
Haliotis rubra (blacklip abalone) is the source of this 611-nucleotide long non-coding RNA. RefSeq lists it as uncharacterized. The transcript is spliced from 3 exons. Lineage: Eukaryota; Metazoa; Mollusca; Gastropoda; Lepetellida; Haliotidae. The record is from RefSeq and is a predicted model, not a curated record.